This 854-nucleotide ribosomal RNA is filed under the name Pantoea sp. RNAcentral's name for it is "bacterial SSU rRNA". It matches the Rfam family "Bacterial small subunit ribosomal RNA". The record is from RNAcentral. Lineage: Bacteria; Pseudomonadati; Pseudomonadota; Gammaproteobacteria; Enterobacterales; Erwiniaceae.
AGGGGGGGCGUACCAUGCAGUCGUACGGUGUACAGGUAACUUGCUCUCGGGUGACGAGUGGCGGACGGGUGAGUAAUGUCUGGGAAACUGCCUGAUGGAGGGGGAUAACUACUGGAAACGGUAGCUAAUACCGCAUAACGUCGCAAGACCAAAGAGGGGGACCUUCGGGCCUCUUGCCAUCAGAUGUGCCCAGAUGGGAUUAGCUAGUAGGUGGGGUAACGGCUCACCUAGGCGACGAUCCCUAGCUGGUCUGAGAGGAUGACCAGCCACACUGGAACUGAGACACGGUCCAGACUCCUACGGGAGGCAGCAGUGGGGAAUAUUGCACAAUGGGCGCAAGCCUGAUGCAGCCAUGCCGCGUGUAUGAAGAAGGCCUUCGGGUUGUAAAGUACUUUCAGCGGGGAGGAAGGUGUUGUGGUUAAUAACCACAGCAAUUGACGUUACCCGCAGAAGAAGCACCGGCUAACUCCGUGCCAGCAGCCGCGGUAAUACGGAGGGUGCAAGCGUUAAUCGGAAUUACUGGGCGUAAAGCGCACGCAGGCGGUCUGUCAAGUCGGAUGUGAAAUCCCCGGGCUCAACCUGGGAACUGCAUUCGAAACUGCAAGCUGAAGUCUGUAAAGGGGGGUAGAACUCCAGUGUAGCGUGAAAUGCGUAAAAGAUCUGAGAAUACGUGCGAAGCGCCCCCUUGACAAAGACUGACGCUCAGGUGCGAAAGCUGGGAGCCACGAUGAUUCCUUGGUAGUCCAGCGUAACCAUGUCAUUGGAGUUGGCCUUGAGGCUGCUUCCGAACUAACGUAUCGACCCUGGAUACGUCCAGUCAAACUAAUGAUAGGUUCCCGCAACGUGAACCUGGU